RNAcentral lists this transfer RNA (71 nucleotides) under Loxodonta africana (African savanna elephant). It matches the Rfam family "tRNA". Rfam says of the family: Transfer RNA (tRNA) molecules are approximately 80 nucleotides in length. Their secondary structure includes four short double-helical elements and three loops (D, anti-codon, and T loops). Further hydrogen bonds mediate the characteristic L-shaped molecular structure. tRNAs have two regions of fundamental functional importance: the anti-codon, which is responsible for specific mRNA codon recognition, and the 3' end, to which the tRNAs corresponding amino acid is attached (by aminoacyl-tRNA synthetases). tRNAs cope with the degeneracy of the genetic code in two manners: having more than one tRNA (with a specific anti-codon) for a particular amino acid; and 'wobble' base-pairing, i.e. permitting non-standard base-pairing at the 3rd anti-codon position. Lineage: Eukaryota; Metazoa; Chordata; Mammalia; Proboscidea; Elephantidae. The record is from Rfam by way of RNAcentral.
ACAAUGGUGGUUCAGUGGUAGAAUUCUCAUCUCUUAUGUGGGAGAUGCGGGUUCGAUUCCCUGCCAAUGCC